Molecule: long non-coding RNA, 2304 nt
Filed under: Populus trichocarpa (black cottonwood)
Lineage: Eukaryota; Viridiplantae; Streptophyta; Magnoliopsida; Malpighiales; Salicaceae
Description: long non-coding RNA (PTRI_LNC000162)
Source: RNAcentral
CUUUCGACACUCUCACGGCCUUUGAAAGCUGAGCUUGUUGAGUCCAAAAAUCUCCAUAAAUACUCUACUCUCCUUGAAAAUCCUGUUGCAAAAUCCCCACAACUGUUGCAGCUACAAUCCAUAUUGUUUUCGGUGAGUAUCACGCCUUUUGGCUCCAACCUUCUCAGAACUCUCAAGAACUCAGUUCUUUCAUCUGGUGUGUUGUGGUUUAAAUGAUGGAGUCUGAAUUGCGCACAAACUAUUAAUGCUUCGUCGGGUUUGGUGUCUAUUAUUCGUCCACUAAGUUUUUGUAAUGAGUGGUUAUCAAGCCUUUUGAUUUGCAAAUUGAUGUUCAUAGACUUGGCAAAACCUAGUAGUCUGGAGGAAAAAUUGUCUCCAGGUGGACCUAUUGAAAACGGGGUCUCAGUGGUUUGAUCAUUUUCAGAAGCGGCCGUGAUGACUGUGAUGCGUACUAGAGGAGGAGGUCCUCCAGGACGGCGAGUCAAGGCCUCAAGAAGUGUAGGCCACUGUACACCAUGGGAUACCCCAAUAUCAAGAACAUGAAGGUUUCGCCUAGGAUCUUGUUCCUGUGCAAGAACUUGAAGGAUAGAUGCAUUAGCAAUGUUGUGAGGGAAGGCAAACCAAGGACUCACCUCGUAGAAUUUGAGUAAAGAUUUUUGAAAGAACUUUGGCUCAGUAGAAGCAAAAGUAAUGGUUCCUGUAGAUGCUGAGGACAAGGUUGAUGAGGAUGAUAGGUGGUGAGUCAGUGCUCGAAGACCAUAAGCUGCUAGCCUGUGGUUAGCAUCGCCAGUUAAUGAGGCUAGCUCAUGGAGUACAUACAGAAGGUGCUGCACCCGUGACAUGUUUCCAAUAGGGAUAGCGGCUGCACAAGGAUUGAGUAACUGUUCUGCCCAUCUCCCUUCCUUGUUGUUACCGUUAUUGCCGUUAAUACCUGUACCCUUGUUGGUGGUUUUCUUAUUUCCAUUUGAUUUUUUCACUACUACCACUGCUUCACCAUCUUGCUGUUUCUUGUUUAUCCAAUUAUUUGGAUUCUUUCUCUGAUGAUGAUUCUGGGACGUUUUGGUAACCGGGUCUUCAGGAUCUUUCCGUUUCUUGUUUGAAGUGGUCGAUUGUGGGUGAUUAGAUAAGGUGGGAGUAAUUGGUGGUACUAGGCUAGUUGUAUUGAUAUUUGUGGUGGUGCUUGUGGUUAUGCUGCUGCUGAGACUAGCGUUGGUGUUGACUAGAUCCUGGUAAAACUCUUCUGCUUGAUCCCACCAUUGAUAGGGAUUGGUAUCGGCUGUGCUGUACGGAUCAUCAAAGAAAGAUGGCACGAACGAUACUGAAUCCUCUAGCCAAUCCAAUACGUGAUCUGAUGUAUGGCUUGGCUCUGAUUCUUCAAUGGUCAUUUUCUGCUUGACACAGGAUGGAAAAGGUGCAAUGGAACAGAGGACAGAUCUCGUAGACUUAAUUUCUCUUUCUGGAAGGAGACGGUAGAGAGCAUAUUCUAUAGGGUUCGGAGCAGUUCAUUUGGAGGUUGUGAUGUUUUAUUUAAGCCAUAGGAGAUAGAGAUUAGUGAUGUUUUAUUUAAGCCAUAGGAGAUAGAGAUUACAGAACAUGAACUCUUGUUUUGUUUUUGUUAUUAACUUAUUCUCUUGUUAUGUCAGAGUGGUUGAGAUCUAUGCAACGAUGAUGUUCGCAGAAAGAGCCUUGGGGAAUUGUGAUUGGUGUUGACAUUUGGAUUCUCAAGAGACGGCAAACUCUGUCUUUGCUAAUUUAAAAUUGCAAUUUCAUGUUUGGUUCUGUUUUGUACCAUUUGUGGUAUGGUUUUGUCUCUGGAUUGAAAUAGACCUAUCCACUACAACCAAGUUUCUAGUUUUGGACUGCCAUGGAAGAUACCCCAUUGUUGCUUAGAAUUUGUUAAGAGCCCUCUUGUUCUAUGACUGGAGCCCGCCCAAAGUGGAAUGAACCUCGACCAAAUCAAUUCUCAGUUUUGACUCUUCCAUUGUUGCUUUGUUAUUUUCAGGUAAAUAGUAACACCUGCUGUCUGUAAUCAAAUCCUUUCUUUUUUAUUUUAUUCCAAUUUUUGUUGCCUGAGGUUCUCGAAUAAAACUAAACAUUGCAAGAAACUUCAAAUGAUCGUAAUUUUCCUUUUUCUGAUGAACAGCUUUCAUUUCUUUUUUCUUACCAGGCUGAAAGAACAGAUGAUGUCAGGUCUUGUGAUCAAUUAGCAUUUCUGUAAAAGAUAUAUGUUUGAGCAGCAUACUCUAAAUGUGUUGUAUUCAUCAGGAACUCUCAAAACCCGGACAUUUUUUCGUUGUUUUGAGU